RNAcentral lists this long non-coding RNA (6603 nucleotides) under Sus scrofa (pig). RNAcentral's name for it is "lncRNA (ENSSSCG00000063230.1)". The record is from RNAcentral. Lineage: Eukaryota; Metazoa; Chordata; Mammalia; Artiodactyla; Suidae.
CACAAACUUUAAUGUGUCAAUGUAAGGCUUUUAUUAGCACUCAAAUCAUCUGAAUCAUUAUGCAGUAAGUAUUUUAACGAGUCAAUAAAACAUCAAUGCUAUAAAAAAGAAAACAAUUGUUACAUGAGUCCUUAAUAAAAUAUUGAAUGCCCCUAUAUUUUUAUUAAUGUCCGUUAGCUCAACUAUUCAAUAAUUAUAUGUAUUUCUCUAUAAAAACAAAUGAUACACACAUGAACACAUUGAUGUUUCAUUUAUUUAAAAAUUUGUCCUCCUUUUUAGUAGUCUCUUAGUUGUUUUACCAUUGUUAAUCAACUGUAACUUCUCAUCUACCCAAGAGAAAAAUAUGGAUAAGAAGACCCAAAACUGGUCAGCCGCUUGUGAUAUACCAGUUGUAACAUUUGGAACCAACUUAAUCUAUAGUUUAAUAGCAGUGUCUUUGCUCACUCUGGUAAACAUAACCUUUUACAAUCAUCCUUGAUUAACCAUAGAGAGGCUUAGAAUUAAGUGGGUAAACAUAUCCAAAGAAAUCUGUCCUCUCCAAACUCCUAGAUUAGACUAUAUUUGUCUCUGGCCACUUAAUUUUUAAGGUAUUUCUUUUUCCAUAAACUACUGAUAAUCAACUCCUGUUGUUAUCCCACGCCAGCAUAUCUAGGUGGCAAUCUCUCCCUUACUGGAAUAGAUUCCAAGAAUAAAUGUCUAACACUUAUUUAGCAAGUACUGUAUGCCAAGAACUGUACUGUGCUAUCACCUCAUUUGAUUCUCACACAACCUAACUGACCCAUCAUCUCUUUACUUCUCUGGCCUCAUCUCGAACAUUUCACCUUGUUUAUUUCUAAUCCAAUGCAUCGGAGUUCUUGUGACUUCUAGAAUGCCCAGCCUGCUUGUGGCCUUGGCAUUUCCAUUCUUUCUACUGGAAGUUCUUAAUCAGAUUUUAGUCCAUAUAUCACUGUAUAAAAUAAUGUCCCCUACAACUGUACAUACCUCCCCAAGCUGUUACCUUAUUUUAUGUUUCAGCCUAAUACUAACUUACAGAUAAUAUAUCAUAAAUGCAAUCCCAUUUGUUUCUUCCCUGUCUCAUUAUUUCACUCACUUGAAUGGAAGCACCAAGAAAGAUGGGAUAUGGUUUACAAAUCUCUUCUAAAUCUUAGAUCAAGAAAAGAAACUUGAGACAUACUAAGCAUUCCUAAAUUGAAUGAGUAAAGUAACCUUCUCUGAGGUGAUCAUAGUUGUGGUAACCACUGUACAGAUGAGGAAAUUGCACUAUUGGGGAGAGGUUAACUUUUUUCCCAAGUUCAUGUAGCAAAUAAGUAGCAGAACUAAGAAUUUGAGCUCUGGUCUAAUGCCAGAGUUCCUAUUUCUAAUUACUCCUUAUUCUUGGCUAUUCUAUUGCCCUAAGGCAAUAAACAGUUCAAUAUCAUAUAUAUGAUAAAUGUGUGCAAGAAAGAUAAUCUCAUUCCCAAGUUAUUAUCCUAUUUUCUUUAGGAUUGUAAUUUGUUAAAUUAUCUUUAAUAUAUCUUAUCAUAGUUCUUAGAAUAUUAAUUUACUUUAAAAUAUUCUGACUUGUAUGAUGUUUAAUUAUACUCAGGUUUAAACUAUAACCACGGUUCUGAUGAUGGUCUAAUCAAGGAGGUAUAAUUAGUAUGGACUGCUGGCAUUUUAAGCAAAUGUUCACAUUCUAGAAGCAGCAGCUAUAAGAAGCUCUGUAACUGGCAUCUGUAUCAACCUCUGUUUACUGAGUCAAAAUACAUCAAUAAAAUACAUCAAUAAAAUAGUAGCCUUUAUCUGUGAUGGCGAUUAUUAGUUACAGAUAUUAUUGGGAACAAGUAUCCAAAGAUGUGGAAUGGCCGUUAUAUUUUAAAGAUUCUGGACCCAGGUCACCCCUAGGGAUGAUCCUCUAGACUAAAUUCCUGAUACUUCCUUGACCACUAUGGACUUGAAGGUUUUGGCUGCCUGAUGCUGGCUACAAUGUUUACAUAAUCCAGCAUCUUGUCUCUUAUCUUGGUUAAACUUUCUAGGAAAGAUAGAGGUGGAAAGAGUCAUGAAAAUGAUGCAAGUCUGUAUAGUAAGUAUUAUAAGUUUUUAUUUGGAUGCUAAUAAAUGUUAGCAACUACAUAUGUUGUAACAGAAUUUGUUCUGAGACUACCUUUUGUUAAAAAUUCAUGGAGAAGCUAUGAGCCUAGUAGCAAACACAUAAAAUAUGAAAUGUUCCAGUGGCUACAAUUAUCUACCCUCCCAAAAUUCAGAGUUCCACAUAACAUAAACAGUUUACAUUGGUUCAAAAUGGCAUCCAUCCUCAGUGCAACAUAUAUUUCAGGUGAUGCUCCAAAUCCUAAAUAAUUUACACUUAUUUCUGAGGUCUCAGAAAUUAAAAGGAUCAGGAAACUUAGCUUAAAUUAUGUCAUUAUCUCUACUCAUUGUUUUUUCUGCUUAUCUUUGCUGAAUUUUCAGACUUUUAAAAUUAUUUCAGAACAGAACAUCUGUACAUAGGAUUAAUAAUAAUAAUCUGAUAAUCUAAUCCUUAAUCAGUAUCUUCAUUAGAAUAAUAUGCAAUUACUGAAUUUUCUGGAUUCUUGAGAAUUAAUCUGUUGAUACCCACAAGUUUUGCACUACAUACUUGUAAAAAAAAAUUAAUUGUAACUAAAACUUCAAGUUUUAACAAAUUUAGAUAACUAUAUUUAUAUUUAGAGUACUGUAUUUACUUAUCUAUUCAUUUACUUAAGUAUAGUUUGUAUACAAUAUUAUGUUACAGGUGCACAAUAUAGUGAUUCACAAUUUUUAAAAGUUAUAUUUACUUUAAAUUACUACUCAAAACUAAAACUUGCCCAUUUAUGCACAUUAAACUAUUUAUAAGUUAUCUUCUAAAGAUAAUCGGAAAUGACAAGACUUUUGAAAUUACACAAGUAAUGAGAUGGUAUAGUUUUGCUGAAUUAUCAGCUAUACACCCUCAUCAAUCUUGUUUUUAACUCUUUAACCAAAGAAAGUUAUGAAAUAACCACAAUAAAGAUAAAAUCUUAGAUGGGUUCUUAAUAUGUGACUAUCUUAUGAAUGCUACUUUUUCUGGUAAAAAAUGGGCUAUUAUUUCCUCAAUAGCAAAGACUAUGAAGAAUUUGGGAAACUGAAUACAUUUGAUACUAGAAUAAUUUAAUUUGGAGCUUAUUCUUUUUCCAAAUUAUAAAUUAAUCUUUUUCUUACCUAUUGAAAUUUAUUGCAAAAUUCUUAUAUGGCUGUACUUGUACAUCUGACUACUCAAAGUUUCUAGAUUUCUUUCUUUUUGUUAACAAAUUUCAAAAUUUAUUGACAUACCACUUGGAUAAUGUACCCAAAAUUGUUUCAUUAAUUGUAAAAUAUAAGCACAUAUUUAUAUACUAAAGAAGAAAAUUAUAAACCCCUUUCAUUUUAUCAGUUCCCAAAGAAACUGAGUGUCAGACAAGAGAGUAAGAAUGCAAAAAAUGAGUACAACCACCUUUCUUUUCUAAAGUGCUAAAAAUAAACAGUGUAUUAUGAUAUCAUAGUAUGAUCCCUAUCCUAUAGUUAAGCCCAAGAUAAAACAGAAACUUAUAAGAAAACUCUUGUAGUCUAUAAUUUGACUAGAAAAAAAAUUAAAGGUAUAAACAAACUAGAAAAACUUUUUAAAUCUAGAUGUAGACAAACCCAAAUUUACUUGCAACUUUUGAAUUUCUAGGUGAAGUUAUCUUCUUGACUCUUCCACAUAACUUUUUAAAGCAAAAAGGAUAAUGGGAGUUGCAAUACAUUCAAAAAGUUUAUUUUAUUUCUGUAUUUUUCAACUUAACUAUUCAUCAAAGGAUUUUACUUAGUACAUCCAGAUAUAUUACCCAAGGAAAUCAAUUUCUCAAAUGUGUUUGCUUAGGCUCUUUAGGGUAUGCCAGUUAAUAAAAGUUGUGAUUGCCAGAGCUCAGUGUUUUAUUAUAUAAAAGCCUCUUAUCCAUUCCUUUGGGUCAGCUUUAUAAUGAUGAACUGAGCUUUUUCUUAGAAGCUCGAUUGUCAAGUGGAGUUGGGUUAAUUUAGAUUAUAUGAAAAGAAGCAGGUACUAGUAAAUGGAAUAUAAAAUGCUUAAUGGAUUCCAGAAAUGAAGUCAGGCUAUAGAAGGAAAAGAAGUGAGAUUGAGAAGAAUAAGAAUUAAAGUAGACUGCUAGGUGAUUUAUUCAGCCUUGGGGGGCAAAGUGCCCCACAUUCAGGUAAAUUACUUCAAUGCAUAGCACAAAAUGUACCUUUUGAUAUAUGCUUCUUCUUAAUACUUUCUCAGCUUAAAGAUUGUUUUAAAGAAUGAUUUUAAGAGGACCCAAAGCAAACCAAAACAGGAUACUUUUUACAUUAUUAUUAUAAUAUCUAAGGCGAAGAUAAAGAUCCUAAGAAAAAAAUAUCGUCAUCAAAGAAACAUUAACUAUGUAUUUCAAGAUAUGCUGCAAUCAAGUUGUUAGGUUUUCUUCCUUUUUUUAAUUUUCUAAAAAAUAAUGAGUUCAAAGGCAACACUACAAAUUAGCAUACCGUUGAUAGAAUUAGACUGUAGUUAAAUUGAGCCUAAUCUUAGAAGAUAUGCCUGUUUAAAUAUUAGAGUCAAGUGAUGGUGUAAACCAACAUUUAACUCAUCAGUGACAGCAGUUUAAAUUCUGCAAAUAUCUCCAAAAGUGUCCUGGCAGCUGACAGUAAAACAGGAGGAGAUAAUGAAAUAUCUGGACACAAAACUUGCACCUGAGAAUAAUUCUACUCAGUUGAAGUUAAUGGUCUCUGCAGUCUGCAUCCACAUGUUCCUUUACUGCUCUUAGAAGCACAGCUGCAGUGGGAAUAUAAAUAUGAGGAGCCAUAAAGUGAACAAUAACUUCUCUGCUUAGAAAACAAAUGCGAGAGCAGUAAAGAUUAGUCUGUCAAAAUAUUCACAAGUUUGAAACUACCUUAGGGAGCAUGUGAGCCUAAGUCCUUUUAGAGAGAAAUUCGGCAAGAUUAAAUGACUUAACCAAAGUCACCCAUUUAGUUUGUGGCUGCAUAUGAAUAAGAAGAGUAUCUUCAUUUUUUCCCCUUUAUCAUGAUACUGAUAGAUGUGGUGACCAUACAUAUCGUAUGUAUUAGUAACUUUAGUAUGUAGCCAUGAUGUAGGAACCAAAAGGGAGGAAAAGAAGCAUUAUUUAUUUUUGUCUUUUUUUUUCUGCAACACAGACAUUUAAAAACUGAAAUAAUGCUGAAUAUUUGUAUGUAUUAGUUUUUUUACAGAUUCCAAGUGAUCUUUCUAGCACAUUCCUUCAUCUAAAUCCUUAUGUUCCUUUUCACAGACACAUUCUAAACAUGUAUGCAGGUACUGGGAACAUUAAUUAACAUAAAAGAUAAUUAAAUUUACACACAGAAAGAAAUGAAAGUCAAAUUGCAAAAAUAUAUUUUUAAAAUGGAAAAACAAAGGUCAGUGGAAUUGAUGGAAUUACUCAAAGAUAUAGAAAGAGGACCAAGGAUGAGCAUCAACUUUAAUGUAAAUGAAGCAAAAUGAGAAAAAAACUGAGACGAUUAAGUUGUGCAUAUGGAUGGAAAGGCAAGCAAUUACAGGAAUGCAAGGGAGUGGAAGCUGAGAAAGGGUGGUGUUUCAAGGAAGAGAGAGUAGUCAGUAUUUUCCGAUGAAACACAAAAUUGUAGUGAGAAUCAUAAAGUCUUUGAUGCAAUUAAUAGCAAAAUAAUUGUGCUACAUUAUUUUUUCUAGUUGGUUAUUGGAGAAAUUAAGAUGAUUGUAACUUGAUUUGGUAUCUCAAGGUGUCCACUGGGUGAAGGAAUUGGGUAAUAAUAGAAUAAAAUUAUUUUCAAAGGAUUCACUUAUAAAAUGAAGGGGAAAUAAGUGGUAUAACUCAAGGAAAGCAUGAAUAUGAAGAGGUGCAAGUUCCAGAGAGAUUUUUCCUGAGUUUGUUCCAAGAUAGGUAAAUUUGAAUGCAUUUAAUGUUGCCCUAAAGGUGGCCAUAGAUAGAAGAAAUCAAGAGAUAUUAUAGGGUAAAGGUAAUUGAUAAAUCAUUGCUUCUUUGUGAGAUAGCGAAUAUUUUGGAGAAUAGCAUACCAAUCAUAUGACAGUAAUUAGUCUUGACAUACAAUAACUCACUCUCAUCCUUGAGUAGGUAUUGAUAAGAAAAAUAUUUUUGAAAACUAAAAAGUAUGUAGUGGUCUGGAGGUGGACAUGUCAGGCAAUUAAGACCUUGUAGCAAUUCCUAAAAAAAAACCCGAAAAAACAAAAACUGAUUUGCUCUAUACAGGAUCACAUCACAAGGACUGGCUUAAUUUCAGGCAAAAUCUCUCUCACUUCUAGCCUUUUGAGAUCAGUUCUUUUGUUCUGAAGACUCUUCUUUCUGUAUUAACCUAGCUACAUUUUACUUAUCCUUACAAAUCCCAACUUUAGCAUCAUUUUACCUAAGAAAACUUUCCAUCGCCAAAUGGAUCAUGUAGAAUCCUCUUGUUUUGUGCACCCUAUACUCUCCUUUGUUCAAACUCUCUAUUCUUUAAAUGUGUUAAGUAUAUUCAAAUUCAAGGAGUUACCUGAUGGCUCAGUGGGUUAAGGAUCUGGCAUUGUUGCUACCGUGGCUUGGGUCAGUGCUCUGGCACAGGUUCCAUCCCUGGCCU